CCUACGGGAGGCAGCAGUGGGGAAUAUUGCACAAUGGGGGGAAACCCUGAUGCCAGCGACGCCGCGUGGAGGAAGAAGGUCUUCGGAUUGUAAACUCCUGUUGUUGAGGAAGAUAAUGACGGUACUCAACAAGGAAGUGACGGCUAACUACGUGCCAGCA
RNAcentral lists this ribosomal RNA (160 nucleotides) under uncultured bacterium. RNAcentral's name for it is "partial 16S ribosomal RNA". It matches the Rfam family "Bacterial small subunit ribosomal RNA", at positions 338 to 513 of the family's 1533-position model. The record is from RNAcentral.